This 417-nucleotide ribosomal RNA is filed under the name uncultured beta proteobacterium. RNAcentral describes it as "bacterial SSU rRNA". It matches the Rfam family "Bacterial small subunit ribosomal RNA", at positions 9 to 429 of the family's 1533-position model. The record is from RNAcentral. Lineage: Bacteria; Pseudomonadati; Pseudomonadota; Betaproteobacteria.
GAGUUUGAUCGUGGCUCAGAUUGAACGCUGGCGGCAUGCCUUACACAUGCAAGUCGAGCGGCAGCGCGGGGGCAACCCUGGCGGCGAGCGGCGAACGGGUGAGUAAUACAUCGGAACGUGUCCUGUCGUGGGGGAUAACCAGUCGAAAGAUUGGCUAAUACCGCAUGACCUCGUAAGAGAAAAGCGGGGGACCGUAAGGCCUCGCGCGACUGGAGCGGCCGAUGUCGGAUUAGCUAGUUGGCGGGGUAAAAGCCCACCAAGGCGACGAUCCGUAGCUGGUUUGAGAGAACGACCAGCCACACUGGGACUGAGACACGGCCCAGACUCCUACGGGAGGCAGCAGUGGGGAAUUUUGGACAAUGGGGGCAACCCUGAUCCAGCCAUGCCGCGUGUGUGAAGAAGGCCUUCGGUUGUAAG